Long non-coding RNA from Budorcas taxicolor (takin), 338 nucleotides. RefSeq lists it as uncharacterized. The record is from RefSeq and is a predicted model, not a curated record. Lineage: Eukaryota; Metazoa; Chordata; Mammalia; Artiodactyla; Bovidae. The transcript has 3 exons.
GAGUCAGACACAACUGAGCAACUGAACUGAACUGAACUGGACUGAAUAACUUUGAAUUUUGUUUAUUCUCCUUCUUUUAGUUCCUUUAGGUAUAAUGUUAAGUCAUUUGAGAUUUUUCCUGUUUUCUAAGGCCUGGUAGACGAUAUAUCCUGGAGCAUGUUCCACGUACACUGGAAAAGAAUCUGGGCUGCUGUUUUUGGGUGGAAUGUUCUAUAACAUCUACACUGAAUAAGAUGCCAUUGUCUAGAUGUACCACAGUUUAUCACCUACAGAAGGACAUCGUGUUUGCUCCCAAGGUUUGGCAAUUAUGAAUAAAGCUGCUAUAAACAAACAUGUGC